UUCAUCAUUUAGAGAGAACACCAGACAGAUGGCACCUGCAAUAUCAAUCAAAAAUAAUGGAUCUAUUAUCAUUCAUCUUAAUAGGAGGCUAUGAUCCAAUUAUCCCUAUAACUAGCUCAUUUUAUGGACCUAAUAAUUUAAAAAAUUUAAUUAAUUUAGAGAAGAGAGAAGAAGAGAUCAAUCAGUAGACCACAAUCCUUCAACUGACUUCACCAAGUCACUUAAUCAGAUUAGGAUCAUAUUGAUCGGACUGGCACCU
This 259-nucleotide long non-coding RNA is filed under the name Elaeis guineensis (African oil palm). Its description in RNAcentral is "long non-coding RNA (EGUI_LNC031703)". Lineage: Eukaryota; Viridiplantae; Streptophyta; Magnoliopsida; Arecales; Arecaceae. The record is from RNAcentral.